UCCACAGGCAAGUGCUAUAUUGUGUGUGUGUGGUCAGUGUGCUCUGGACAGCCUGGGUGUGACCAUUCUGCACCCCUCGAGCUCAAAUCACUCCCAGGGGCAAAUACUUUUAGCAUAUAGAAUACCAAUAGACAUAGCAUCUGUGGCUUAAUUCCUCGUCCUUGCUUCGAAGGGUUUUUUACAGAGCUAUCCUUGUAACAUCAUGAAUUUUCAUAGGAUACGGUGGGCAAGGGAGCUAUGAAGCUACAACUGCGAGAGAAAUCAGGUACAUCACUGGGGACAUCACGCACCUUUUUUUUUUAAGCCUGAUGGAUCUAGAAGUGGGGGUGACUCUAUGCCAUAAUUCUAAGAAUCUUUAAAACUGACACCAAGGAAAUACAGGAGAAGAGAAUAACAGAGAAGUGUAACUUACUUUCUCUGAAACGGUGUUAAAAACCUGCCAAAGCACUGGUUUUUGGUCUCAGGUAAAUAUUUCUAACUGUUUUUCAUCAUAACAGGAGGAAAAGAUUUUGCAGCUGUCCUUGGUCAAAUGUCAAGCCUUCCUACCAACUGUUUCUUUUAGCUUUUGAAGCCUUUUCCACAGUGUUAAACAUUUACUCAUGAUGCAUAAAAGAUGAACCCUUGUGUUUCCUUUUGCCUACAGAACUUAACGUAUGUAAUGGACUCUCUCACCAUCAAGAUAUUAACCACUGCUAGGAGCUCCUUUCUCUGGAAAUCUUUCCAUCAGUGAAACUCAUUUACAUAAGGGCACAAGGAUGAUUUAACCACUGGCUUUCUCAGUGCUGCCAAAACUGAGGCAGCUGGGAGCUGAGGACCAAAACUGAGGCACCUGGAGAAGAUUAAUACGGACUUGACUCCGUUAACAUGAAGGAACCUGGAUAGGAACCCAGACAACCAAGAGAGAUUGUGGUCAGAGGUGGAGAACAGAAAACAGGAAAACAAAGCUCAAACCACCCAGCUCUGAGGGGCCUCUGCUGGCCAGGACAUCACUGGGAUAGUUUUGGUUUCACAUUCCUGCAAAUUUUUCUGCAUGACCCUGUGGGAUACAUCUUUCCUGAUCACUGGAUGAAGAGAAACAGCUUAGGUUUGCACUGCUGUGCACAUUAUCCCUCACUUCUAACUGAACCCUGGUAAGAUCCACUACUAGAGGUCAGGUAUCUUUGGACUAAGUAGGGCUACAGCACAUCCUCUGUGUCUGAGUCCCUGCCUGGCCAUGUCUUUUGUAUUGAAUUCCCAUAGCCUCUAAAGCUUGGCAGGUACACCCAAACUACUACCAAGAACAGUCUUAAGUCCUUGCUAAACUUUGAACAGUGGCUGAGGUUUGUUUGGGAAGAUCAGAGACUGCCCUAAAAAUUAAAAUGAGCAGAUGUUCAGGUUCCCCUGCUAGACAUAGCCACACUAUCAUCCUAAGCAGUGCACGAGGAAAAAAUGGGUUCAUAUCAUUCAGAUCUAUUAAGAAACCACAGUGAGGGACCAAAGUCAUCCUAAAAUGUUUAGGAGGACACUGCUACCACAACCCAUUUUCUAGGACUCAGACACAACACCUUUGUCCAUUGUGAGAUGGCUAUCUCUGAUCUCAGUUUGUCCACAGGAAUAUCUUUUAAAGUUCAUCUAGCCUUUCUCACAGUGAGAAAGUAAUCAUGAGUUCAUCUGAGCUGCCAGAGGAAGCUCAGGUGCCAAAACUCUGAAAAAAUGGUGAUUGAGAAAAUAUGAUCCUCCUCUCUCACAGAAAACCAUUUAUGCUCUGCUAAGUCCAAAAGACUGGUCUUGCAGUCACAAAGACAUUUCCAUGGCUGGAAGGGUUGGAGAAGGCAGUGAUAGAGGGUGAGCUGACAACAGAAGUUGCUCCAGGAGAGAGAUGGGGAAAUGUCAAAGUGGGGAGAGUGCUGCAGUCCCAGAAAGGAACACCCAGUUCUAGGUAUUACGCAGUGUGUAGAAAGAUGGAGAUUAUUUUCCUCUGUUUUCUAUUUUCACAAAGCAUCUGUCUGCUAGGCAGGAAGGAUUAAUCUCUGUCUUUAAAAUACUUCAACCUAUAGGAUCUGGAUAGAUGUUCAUAUAUAUUCUCUGUCACUAUAUUUGGGUUAGUCUAUGACCUAGAGUGGAAAAAUGCCUUUUAUUUCAAUUAAAUGUAUCUUGCCAUCAUAUGGAGAGCCUGUGGGACAAGGCAAACAGUUAGAGAGCAGGGAAAAAAUACACAUGACAUCCAUAUUAUGCAAAGCAAGAUAGUGAAGAAUGUUGCAUCUAGAGAUUUUUACAUAGUUCACACUACUGAAGAGAAAACGCCUCCUUGCUAUUUCAAACAAAACCUUAUUAUCGGCACGGUUUUCUGCAGUGAAAGUGUGUAUCAUUGGAGCUGUCAGGUGUACUUCUUUGGUACAUACUUUCUGUUCUCAGUUAUUUUCCUCUGCCAACAGAAGCUCGAACAGUGCAAUUCUGAGUCUCAUUCUAGCAGGGUCCGCAAUCCCAGUGAAGAAUGGCAUUACCUGGUUUUGUCCUGUCAGGGCAUGGGCUACUCCAACAGGCAACAAGGGGCAUUUUGGCAAGAAUGCACCAUGGCAACAGCACAGAGAUAUCAUCAGCACCUCCACAGUAGUUGCCAUAGUACAAGAUUAAGACCAAGUCUGAUUUCACAGACUGUAUCACAAUGGCUUUCAAAUAGCCUGCCCAGAUUGUCCCAGCCUGUUCCUGACAUCUUCAUUACCUCUGUGCAAUAAGUGUUACGUAAUGUCUGUGACUUGCAAAUAUUUGAUUAUAAAUUCAAAUUGCUGUAAAAUUCACAGUUAAAUAUGAGCUGCAGAUAGGUUGAAACACAGAUGUUUCUUGCUGGAAUUAGUCCAGAAAGCCAGAUUUAACACCAUGACUUCCCGGAAAACCAGUAACAGACUCAUGACUGGCAGGACUGUGGCUGAGACCAGUCACACCUACCAUGCCCUCUGCGUCUACUCAGGGAAAUGUUACAACUCCUUGACUACAAUAUCAGAAACUUUGCCAUUUAUUAUCCCAUACACUUAUGUAUCUCAGCCCUACUAUUUUCACCCUGCUUACAACCCUCCCCAUAUCUCCCCUCUUUUGUGCACUCUAUUUUGGGUGUGGUCUAACUACCCUGCAGUACCCAGUAGCUUUUACAACUCUCCUGCUACACACCCAGCAUUUGACCCUUCAUGCUCCUCCUGCUGCAGGAUCUUCUGCCUCCAAUCCCCUGCUCCCCUCCAAAGCUCCAGAUCCAACUCAGGUCACUUUGCCUGGUGUCCUCCAUGAAGGGUGUCAGAAACUAGGAAUAAAAUAAUUUAUGGAGAACAUUUAAAAUCAUUCCAUUGAUCAUGUACUGAACUGCUUUUAAGGUAUCUUGGAGGAACUUUUAAAGUCCAUCCUGUAGUACCCAUUAGUGCAAGGCCAUGGAAUGUGUUUUCCUUGUACCACAGGUACCAGCUAACAGUGUAUUCAAGUCAUAUUAACUGCAAAUGGACCCAGCAGCAAUUUCCAAACUUCAUGUAUUUCAUCACAAGCCUUGUGCUGAAAAGCCUAGAAAAUGAACACAUAACCUCCAUUAACACUGCACUAUAUCUUUUUCACUUAUUCCAGAAUAAAUGGCUAGAUUUUCCCACAGUCUCAAAACAGCAGGUGACUAGCAACAGAAAAUAUCUUGCUUUGCUCCCCUUAGACCUCCUAAGCAGUCAUUUUCCCUGUUCCCUGAGCUCAUGGAUCAGUGAGAAAUUCUCCAAUGUUGAAUUACAGCUGCACAGAUGUCAGUGGCCAGAACACCUACCUGCCCAGAAUAUCUAGUGCCUGCUUCCCUAUUUCAUGAAAUAUCCUGUCCUCAUUCUAUCUCAACAUUUCCUGCACAUAAAGACAAAGCUGGUGUCAAAGCUUGCAAACCCACUGUUUCUGUGACAGAGACCUACACGAAAAAUAUCAAGCCAGCUACUUGAAGCAGUUGGCUGCAAAGACCUUUGGAAUACAAAGACUGUUCAUUGAAACAGGACUUUCAGGCAUAUGAACAUAGGUUGGAAAGCACUUACUAUCUUCAGCCCCCUUGAUGCUGAUGAGAGAUUAUGAGGAUGACAUUUUAAGACAGAAAUUGUUUAUUUGUGAUAGAAACUGGAGGAAAAACAAACCCUUGGUUAUUUUUUGAACUAUGAGCAAGAUUUACCAAAGUGGCUUUGGGGUACGUUUCCCUUAUCAAAAUGUCUUGCAAAAUCUGAGAGGUAUGAAAUGGUUGGAGAAAUCACAACUUUUCAGAACUGCAGCUAAACAUGUGAAAAGGCAGCUCGGGAACUGGCAGAGAGCAGUGUUUCCAUGAGCGGGAAGUCGACAGAGAAACCUUGCAAUGACCCAGGAGUCAGUAGGAAAGGACGGGGAGAUUAAUGUGGUUUUGAACAGACAAGCAGCUCUUAUGGAAAACAAGUUGUACUGAAACUUCCCUCCCACUCUCUCUCAUCCUGCAGCCUCAAGUGGCUCUGUGUCUGGAUCCCCAGACCUCCAAAGAACUAUCAGACUUGAAAGGCAAGGUCCUCAAGAACCCAAACCACUGACCACACCAGUGCCCGCCUCAGACGCCUCUGACCCAAAUAUGACUUUAUUGCUGCAACAAUAUUUCUUCCAGCUCUUCAGAUUCCUGAAAGGUCAUCAGGCAGAAAACCCACAGCCACCAACAGCUGUAGUCUGUAAUGUUCAGAGUUGUGGGAGCUGUCUGCAUUGCACUGUCACUGAUAAGUUCGAAGCACAGUAUUUGCCCCAUUUUUUUUUUUUUAAUUUAUAGUGCUCAGAGUACGUAUUCACCAUUUUUGCAGUUUUGCACUUUUGGUUUUCAAAAAAAAAGAGAUUUUUUUACUCAUUGCUGUAAUUUUAGUUUGCAUUUAAUAAUAAUAGUUUGCGGCUAUUAAAAACAUAAUUUUAAAAAAUUUUAUUUGCAAGAGUUAGAAAGUUUGUGAUGCAGUCUGGGAGACAAGGGUACAGUUUACUGUCCUUUAAAUGCAACCUAACUUGCACACAAGAAAAUCACUUUACAAAAUGAGCUUAUGGGUAGUAAAUGGUUCAAAACCAUGCCAGUUCUCCAAAUCAGAAUACUGACAUCAUCCCGGCAGUGUCAUCUUACCUUCUUUGUCCAAGUACAUGUUCCAGUGCUCUCCUGACCUUCUCCAGAUAAAUAUUUAGGUAAUAAUUUUUUGUUGUCAUUGUUCUUGUUUUUGUUGUUAUUUAGUAAACUUUUUUGCCAAGGAAGGUAGAGUAUCAAGAAGUAAUCAAAGAGAAGGUAAGAUUAAUUGGCAGUGACGUUAUCAGCAGACUAACCAAGGUCUGGAUACAGACCCACUACUGUCACCCAGUUAUCCACACAGUUAAAUUGGCUCUCUGGUACUGUUUUUGGCAUCAAACACCAUCCAGGAUAAUGCCUGGGCACAAUUCAGGUGACACAGACUGAGGACCACCCUUCUCUUUGUUUUGGAAGGGUAUGAAUAUGAGCCAUGCCAUGCCAGAUGGCCUUAGGGACAAAUCACAGUCCUUGGCCCAUUUAAUUUCCUCAUACAGAUGUUGUUCCUCCCUCUGCAGAGGACUGAAGACCUCAUUUUCUUUAAAAAUAGAGGAAUGAGCUGUUGCAGCCCUAGCCCUGUGCAUCAGAUCAUUAUGAAUCCUUCUAGAACUGCCUGAUUAAUCCUUGUUAUCCGGACUUUCUGCCGGCACCCUGUCACUGCCCCUCAUCUAAUGCUGCAGCACAACCCCUUCCCAUCAGGUAACACUCAGUUCCACUGCCCAGAAGGGCACCACAAGGGGUGAAGUGUCUUCAGGAGUGUGCUGUGAAAGUUUUCAGUCCAGACUGGAAAGGCCCAUAAGUACCCUGUAAUAAACGUAGGGACAGACUAUUUCUCAUCAGAUACAAAAAAUAUACAGAUGGAGACUAGGCUAAAAGGUUUUGGGUUUUGAUGUCCUGCACUCAGAAGUUACAAAAUGAAGCAAGUGACAUUUACAGCUGUCAUAUGAAGUCACUGCUAUAUAUUCUUUAGUUGCAAAAUAAAAACCCUCUUUCUCAUAAGAUACCUCUCUCAUCUGGGAUUAGAGACCAAUGCUAAGAUGGUUGCAGUUAUCCCAAUCCGUAUGCACCACCUUCUUCUAUUUGCAUCACACCUUUUAGCCUACUCCAAAUUACUGAAAUGUUUUCCUGAAGGGCCUUCUUUUGCAAAUUCAUUUUCUCUCUUGCUGGAAUUCACUUGAAAUACAAGAGACACAGUGUGUCCCACUGCUAAGGUGCAGCCUGGGCUGUGGAGAACAUUUUGACCUUAUGGCCAAAGAUUUUUCUGUCUCUUCUCUCAAGUAGAAUUAGUUUUUUACCAUCCUUCCCACUCUUGCCUUUUCCACUUGUUUCAUUUAUUUCUAUGCACCAAUCUUUUUUUUUCCUCAUUUCAGUUUUUGAGUCCUACCCUAGAAAGUCAUUGCCACAAUUUAACAUACAUGUAAGUCAAUUUGCACCAAAAAGGUAUCCUGCUCUCCUUCCACACCCCAAACAUGGUCCUUCACCUAUCCCUGACCACAGCUGUCGGUAUUCCUUCCGUAUCCAAAAGCAUAUGAAAGUCACUAGGGUUAAGUGAACAAGUAAUUUUUUUUUUUAAUUGGCCAAGAAAUGAAUUUUCGUAAUUUAAAAAAAUAACUUUUGUGUUCACCCAAGAUCUCCUAAAAUUAUUUUUGUUUCAAGCUAAUACCUACCAUUGAAAACAAUGCUGGUUGUGGGAGUUUAGAAAAAUAAUAAGUAGUUGGAAUAAAGGUAGUUUCUAGGAAACAUCUGAUUUUCUCUUUAUAAGCAGAAGCUUGCGCUUGUCUGAAGGAACCUGGGGUUUUCAUGCUACAUUUAUGUCUUCUGUCUUACCAAAAGCCUAUGUCAUCUACUGGAACAAAGGCUGCAUGCUGAGGGGAACACAUCUAUCUUCAUGAUGGAUGUUUGGCCCAUUGCCUGAGGCCACAGCUCUACAGCUCUAUAGCUGGAGAUGGUUCUGUAGCUCUAUAGCUGGAGAUGGUUCAGUAGGUUUGGUAGAAUGGUUGUUAAAAUUGACUGUAAGUCCUGAGCCAGCUGCCAAAAUCUGCCUCCAGCAAGUGCGGCUCCUGGUGAUUCCUGUCCUCCCUCAUUAUCUUCAGAGCUUGCUCCUCCCUCUAUUGUCACUUGUCUGUGCUUGGCUUUGGGGUCCCCGUGGCCCCACCUGCACUUGCAGUGCUCUCAUCACCUCGAAGCCUUCAGCGACUCUGGUCACACAGCCUUUGGGGCUCCUUUGGCCUCCCACUGAAUUUGAAGAUUAAAGAAGCCAAACCAGCUCGUUCACUGGGAGUUGCAGGCAGUGGACUCUCUGAAGGAAGGCCUUUGGUGCUUUUUUCUCCUUUGGAGCAAAGGAAAACAGGCUAAUUAAAACCAAUGGACUUGGAGAGGUGUUAGCUGCUGCCUCACACAUUGGGUUUAUAGACUGAAUCUUGUUCUCUUUAGGCUUCCAGAUUUUUCUCAGUUACUAUUUCUCCUGUCACAUACUCAACUGUUUCUUGUCAUACACUCACUGCUUGUGCCUGCCCUUUGGAAAAACUUUUCUACAAUCCUACACUUCAUCAGUACAAUAAUUAUUUCAAGCUUCCCUGUUAAACGUAGAGAGCUAGUGUGAUGCACAGCAAAAUGGAAGGAAGUCUUCUUCUGGAUUUCAAUAUGUUUUGAAUGAGGUAUUUUUCCUUGCAGAAUCCUGUUUUUUCAUCGUCUUUCACUUAGUUUGGUAUUCAAGAUGUGUGUGAAUGUGUGUGCCUGUGCUUGUGAUUUCCAUCUCCCAGACUUUUAGCCCUGAAAACGAUACAAAUUUGGGAGAUAAACUCUAAAGACAUCAUUGAUGAAGCAUUGAAGCCAAUUCCAUGUUUUAAUCCUGCAUAAAUUAUCCUGGAACUCAGCCGACAUUUAUGAUGUGUGAGAGAAUAGAAAAAUAAUGGGAUUACUCAGAAUUUUCAGAUGAUUAUAAACAUAUGGUGCAGGAGGGUAUAAGAACAAAACAUACUGAGGGAAAUAUCAGUAAAUGAAAGGUUAAUAAUGGAAAAAGUAAGUUUGGAACCUCAUAUGUGGCCUAUUAUCAAACACUACUGACAUGAAAGAAUUCCUGCAGAACUGUUAAAAGUGGACAGCUAGUAGUUUAAUGAUUGUAGCAAGAAAACUUUAGGCAUUGGAAAGGAAACUAUAUGAUUAUAAAAGAACUCAUCACAUAUUUAAGCCUCCUAUGAAAAAUGGUAGUUUUGUGUCUGAGGUUCCAGACUGGGACUCAGAUCUUGAUUUAUUUCCCAGUUCUGCUACAGAUUUCCUCUGUGACCUCGGGCCAGUUACUUUGGGAGAAAUAUGUUGAAGCUCCUAAACGGCUUAAGAAUCCAAGUCCCUUUACCAAAAGGGGCAUAGGAACAGAUUCACAAAGAGAAAAGCAUAUGAGAAUGCCAACCAUAGCCAAGGCUAUCCCCAAAGAGACAGUGUUCUACCACAUCACUUGCCAGUUCUGAGCACCAAGAGGCCUCCAUGCCUCAAGGAGAAAGCCUGCCUUCUGAAUAGUCAUGGAAAAUGAGCAGGAGGUGGCAUGGGAGGGAGGGAUCAGCUGCCCUCUGACCUCCUGUGGGUACUGUGAAGCAGGCAGACUUGGGAAUUGCUCUGUCUCAUGGUUUCCAGCUUCUGCUCAGUUUUCAUUGGUGGCUCAUAUCUGGGAGAGGCUCAGUUGUGAUGUCUGGAUCUGUGCAGGCAGAAGAUGCCAGGAUUUACAUGGUCAGGAGGUUUACCCUGAGAGAAACAGGGACUCCUGGCUAUUUGCAUCCUGCUUGGGUUGAAAAAGAAGGGACCAGGAAUAACCAUCUCUCUUGAGGACAACUGGUUUUGGUGUGGGAAACUUUUCACCUAGUUCACUCCCACGCAUGGCCCUCAGCACUGAAACCUACAUCCCAAAAAUCCAAGAGAAGUGAUAAGAAAGAGGGGUAGUCUGUGCUCUCUUGCUCCCAGUCUGUGAAGCUGAAUUGUAACCAAGACACCGCUCCCCUUUUCUUCCUUCGACCCUUGGGCUUCCUUAUCAGGGUUAGGAACAAAGUGUUUAUUUGUUUGCCAGUGCAGGAUUUAGCUUCCUAAUAAAACUCACAUAGCAACCAAGCAAGCAAGUAAACAUGAGGCACCUAAGUGUUGUUGCCUCCAGAUUUCUGACAGCUUUGAAAAAUAGACCCUUUUUGCUGUUGCCAGCUCGUGAAGUACAAAUAGCAAUAGCAGGAUAUUCUUUGUCUCCAUCAUCCUGUAUUAGUCCAUGCUGUACAUAGUCUCACAGCUCUCACACAAAACAGGAAUGCAAGCAGUAAUAAACCUGUAAUGCAAGUAGGAGAGCCAAGGAUGGAUAUUCACUCUAGCUUUCCAUAUGCUGUAGCACUGAUAAAAGGAUCUUUCGGACAUCUCUUUCUCCUUCUUAAUAUGCAGCAUGGUCAUAACUCAGAAACUGCUUUGGACAGGAUUCACAAACUGCUGUGUCUGUGUAAAGUCAGUUGAAAGUAAAUAAAAUACUUUCUGCUUUAGUCCCUUGGAUAUCUCCAAUUGCCAUGGUUUGUUUCAUUCUGCAUGGAAGUAUAUGAAGCUUAAGGUAUGGGGUAGGUCAUUAAGGUGAAAAAUUUUACGUUUCUGAGAUUCAAAAACGUUCUAGCAGAGAAUCUCCCUUUAAAGCACAUAUUUUGUUGUCAGUGGUUUUGGCAUAAAAAAAAGAUCCAUAUAAAACAUAGGAAAGAAUGUAGCAUAAAGGGGAAAAGGUGGAUCCUCAUAAUUUAGAAAAUAAUAUUUUAGUAAUCAGUGUUUGCUAAUAGGAGUGGGGAAGUAGAAGACAAUUCAGAAAUAUCAAAGUAAAUUUUUUAAUUUUCCUCAAAAUGUUUUCAAUCUAGAAUACUCCACCUACAUCUUCUGCCUUCUCAGCAAAGCAAAGGCAGGCUGAUCUCACAGUUAGCUGAGCUUGAUGCACUAAAGGAAAGCCUGUUCUGAGUACUGACUGCUGAAAAUUGCAUUUCAUCAAAGUUGUUUAAAUCUUUAGGGUGAGAAUAGGAGCAAUUUCACAUAUCCAAGUAGCUAAAGUCUCAGUUAAUAUGUUAGGUUCCACAUUCAGAAAAAAAAUUAGUUUCUGUCACUGUGACCUUUGGUAUCUGCUUUUAUAAUCACUGUGAUCAAAGCAGUCCUUCUGUCAUGGGACAGGAUUCCCUUCUGGAAUAUUUCCACAGAAGUUGAGACAGCUGUUGCAAAAACAUAUUUUAAAAAGCUGCAGGAAAUCUGUCUGUAGCUGAUGCUUUUCCCAAGUUUUAAGUCUUGAAAGAAUCUUUCUGUUUCCUGUAAGUAACUGUGUCUUUUAAUUUGAUAUAUCUGCUUGUAGAGGGGAAUCCUUUCAGUGUCAGUUUUUCUCUGAUGUUUGUCUGAAAUCGCUUUGGUCAAAAUUAUCUUUCUAAAUCUCUUGGCUACUGUAUUUGUUACAAACUACCACUGAGCCAUAAUCUUCUGGGUCAAGGGGGCCAUUAUGAUCAUCCCAUUAGACUUUGGACGUAAGACACUAUGGGGAAUUACAAGAUAGAAUUGGGUUGUGAGCUGUAAAACCUGCCUGCAGAGGCACAUGGCAGCACAAAGGAGCACAGGCAGCACAG
Molecule: long non-coding RNA, 10638 nt
Organism: Corvus hawaiiensis (hawaiian crow)
Lineage: Eukaryota; Metazoa; Chordata; Aves; Passeriformes; Corvidae
Exons: 3
Source: RefSeq, a predicted model, not a curated record